RNAcentral lists this transfer RNA (84 nucleotides) under Candidatus Portnoybacteria bacterium CG06_land_8_20_14_3_00_39_12. RNAcentral's name for it is "tRNA-Tyr". It matches the Rfam family "tRNA". From Rfam's summary of the family: Transfer RNA (tRNA) molecules are approximately 80 nucleotides in length. Their secondary structure includes four short double-helical elements and three loops (D, anti-codon, and T loops). Lineage: Bacteria; Candidatus Portnoyibacteriota. The record is from RNAcentral.
GGGAAGGUACCCGAGUGGCCAAAGGGAACGGUCUGUAAAAUCGUUGGCUUUAUGCCUUCGUGGGUUCGAAUCCCACCCUUCCCA